This 669-nucleotide non-coding RNA is filed under the name Paxillus involutus ATCC 200175. Its description in RNAcentral is "Eukaryotic large subunit ribosomal RNA". It matches the Rfam family "Eukaryotic large subunit ribosomal RNA", at positions 24 to 664 of the family's 3401-position model. Lineage: Eukaryota; Fungi; Basidiomycota; Agaricomycetes; Boletales; Paxillaceae. The record is from Rfam by way of RNAcentral.
CCCGCUGAACUUAAGCAUAUCAAUAAGCGGAGGAAAAGAAACUAACAAGGAUUCCCCUAGUAACUGCGAGUGAAGCGGGAUGAGCUCAAAUUUCGAAUCUGGCGGUCUUCAGGCCGUCCGAGUUGUAAUCUAGAGAAGCGUCUUCCGCGCUGGACCGUGUACAAGUCUCCUGGAAGGGAGCGUCGUAGAGGGUGAGAAUCCCGUCUUUGACACGGACUGCCAGUGCUAUGUGAUGCGCUCUCGACGAGUCGAGUUGUUUGGGAAUGCAGCUCAAAUCGGGUGGUAAACUCCAUCUAAAGCUAAAUAUUGGCGAGAGACCGAUAGCGAACAAGUACCGUGAGGGAAAGAUGAAAAGAACUUUGGAAAGAGAGUUAAACAGUACGUGAAAUUGCUGAAAGGGAAACGCUUGAGGUCAGUCGCGUCGGACGGGGAUCAACCUUGCUUCUCGCUCGGUGUACUUCCUGCUCGACGGGUCAGCAUCAGUUUCGGUCGCCGUACAAGGGUCGAGGGAAUGUGGCACUCCUCGGAGUGUGUUAUAGCCUUCGGUCGCAUGCGGUGGUUGGGACUGAGGAACUCAGCACGACCCCUCGAGGGUUCGGGGCCACGGCCUACGUUAACGUGCUUAGGAUGCUGGCAUAAUGGCCUUAAGCGACCCGUCUUGAAACACGG